Non-coding RNA from Paramisgurnus dabryanus, 1305 nucleotides. The record is from RefSeq and is a predicted model, not a curated record. Lineage: Eukaryota; Metazoa; Chordata; Actinopteri; Cypriniformes; Cobitidae.
CUUAAUGGGGGCAGGGCAGCUCAACCUUGAAGAACAGAAUCUCCUGUGCUUGUUGUGUGUGUGUUUUCUUCCCUAACAGAUGGUUUUUAAUAAUGAUUAAAGUGUUUGCUUAGAAGUAGUAUUGCAGUAAAAGAUUUAAUAUGUGUUUAUCUAUCUAAAGAAGUUAAUGUGUGCCUUAUUCAUAUAACCAAUUUUACGAAUAAUGAAAUGAUGUCAUGAUAUUGAAAUAUGUUUUACAUAAUAAUCACUUUCAUCUUACAGCUUAUGUUUUUUAUAAAUGAAUGUUUUAUUAAUGAUUUGUUUUUAAGAAAGCAUUAUAAACAUGCUAUGUGGAGUGGAGGAGUACUGGGGAGAAAGUGACGGACUGCAUGGCUCUCAGGGAUGAGAGGAGAACAGUUUGUUUCUUUUUUGUCUGUGUGUGUGAGAUAGGCAACCCCCUCAGGAAUGUGGUGAUGGAAUCUGAUAAGGAGAAUAGCCAGCUGGGGGAGGAGGAUUCUGAAGAAAGAACGGCGAUAAAUACUCAUGUUUUUGUUCUGAGCUGUGAGUUUGUCAAAUCCUGCUGUAGGAUUUGGGACACUCCGGCAUGCUGUAACUUUUUCAUAUCUGAUCAAUAAAUAUUCAAUUUAGAUAUUUGUGUCUUUCUAAAUUAUGAACACGCAAUGGACGCCUUAAAGUCCAACACUAGUGAAACCACUACCAGUCUUAAAUGUAUAACUGAUGAUGACAAAGUUUUUUUUCUCUGCAUAAUAAUAGGAACCCAGACAGUAGCAUCGUUUCACAAUGUUUCCAUCACCAUCAUCAGUGGAUGCCUUUGCCGUCCGUAGCCUGAGAUUUCAGAUUUGCAGCAAAAAAAUUAGAUUUUCUCAUUUAUUGGAAUGCUGUGCAGGUUGUACCUUGCAGCCAUCCAUUACAAUGUCACCAAGCCGUAACAAAAGCAGGAGAGGGAAAGUACAAGGCUAUGUUCCCAAAACACACAAAUGACAUACCUUAUGUGGAGGAUGUGAUCAGGCUUGUGUUUGAUGAGGUAUUUGAAGAUAAGCUGAAGGAAACCCCGAUUCCAAUGGACCUGGCAUCACAGUUUGAGAGACCUUCAAAGGAGGACGUGAUUGCAUGCCAUCUUCAGUGCAGGGGUCGUCGAAAGCCAAAAUUGUGACCGAUCUGAUCAGGAAGCUCCAAGCGUAUCUGGAGAACAACACACGACAGGAUGUUAACCUUAUAGUGUCGUCUUAAAUAGCACCAGCUGACAAAGCUUUGAUAUGCCAUUUAUCUGAAUAGAUAGCUGUAAGAAAUGAAUUGAACAAUUUU